Mus musculus (house mouse) is the source of this 950-nucleotide long non-coding RNA. RefSeq annotates it as predicted gene, 39437. The record is from RefSeq and is a predicted model, not a curated record. NCBI's taxonomy places the organism in Eukaryota, Metazoa, Chordata, Mammalia, Rodentia, Muridae. The transcript has 3 exons.
GAGAAGUAAGUGCUCCUAACCAUUGAGCCAUCUCUCCCGCCUCAGAGACUGUUCAUUGAGAAGGCUACAAAGGGUUGGAAGAAGGUCCAAAACCCCUGGGCUGUGAACCUGUGAUAUAUCAGAAAGGAUCUGUGACCAACCCAGUUCCUGAUCCUAGACUCCUCAGAAGAAAACCCAACUGUUUGUUGUGAAUAAGCUCCCAGUCUUCGGUAUAUUUAUGGUGGCCCCAAAUGACCAACAUAACAACUUGUUCAUCUUACAAGUACACAGACUCAACACCUCCACAGCACUUCUGCUCCAGUGUGUGUAAGUUGCUGUGAGUGAACAAUGAACAGAGUUAUAGCGACUGAAGAGCUUUACUCAAACCCUCACUGGAUCAUUAAACAGUCUUUCCAAGUCCUGCUAUAGAUACACAGGCACGAGGACUCACAGAGAAGUGGGACGAGGAGUUCUGGGUACAGAGUUACUACCAUAUGCUAUUGGGGGCUGACAGUGAAGAGAUCACUUCAUAUCAGAAGAGACUUUGGAUAUUGGAUAUUUGAAUGGUUUCAGGAUUGCUACAAUUUGGGGCAUACUUAAAGAGACACACAUAAUACUUGCAGGGCCAUGGAUAUAUCAUCAUUUAAAGUGAUAUGUUUGUCUGUUAUGUUGUCAGGGGGUGGUUAUUGUCAUUGAUUAGACCAAGAGAUCUCUAGGGAAUUGGUGAAGCACACCUUUGGGUGUGUCUGUAAGAGCAUUUCUACAUAAAAUUAAUUCACUGAGGAGUAAAGACCCACCCUGAAUGUGGGUAGCAGCAUACCACAAGCUGAUGGCCGAGAGCAUCCUAAAAUGGAAAAAACCAGCUGAGUGCCAGCACCUGAACAUGCAGGUGGCACAGAGCCACACUAUGCCGUGCCUUCUUUGUCACAGUGGACAGCAUCCCCUCAGACCAUGAGCCCAAAUAAACUACU